Monopterus albus (swamp eel) is the source of this 434-nucleotide long non-coding RNA. RefSeq lists it as uncharacterized. The record is from RefSeq and is a predicted model, not a curated record. The transcript is spliced from 3 exons. Lineage: Eukaryota; Metazoa; Chordata; Actinopteri; Synbranchiformes; Synbranchidae.
AGAGAGGGCAGUGGAGUCCUGGUGAUCUUCUCUGCAGUCAGGCAACCUCAGCAAUUAUACCAGUGCCAAGAAAGGGAAGGGAGGAUGUAGCACCCCAAGGAUCCCUGCCUCCAUUCAUCUUGGCAGCUCCUGUUUUCUUCCCGGACUGUUUCCUCUGGCCCGUGGCUCCAUUCUUCCCUCUCAGACAGGUUGAUGCACAGUCACUGAGUGUUUCUGCCAUACCCUACGUAUCUCUGUGUCUUUUCAGUAGCCAUCAUCAACCACCGACCAGCCCAGGAGUGACCCUACUACGCAGCUCGGCCCACCUCGUCCAUCUCAUCCACCUCAUCACUCCACACCUCCUGCUGCUGGUCGACACCGGGAUACUCCAUAUAUUUAGUAUCCACAAACUGUUUGUUUGUAAAGUCACCGCGCUGUAUAUAAUAAAUCACAGC